UUACCAGACUUACUUUUUCCUUCCAUGUUGAGUCAGUCACACCGUGUGGUCGACAUGGACUUGAUGAUCAUCAUUAAAGCUGCAAAAACUCCAUGACUUCGUCCUUGCAUGAAAGAAAAACCAAUGGUUCCAAACUUAAUGAAUCUGAGAGGUGGAAGGGUGUUGCCCAUAUGUGUUCCUGCCAUGAAGAUUAAUCAACUUAACUUAAAUUUACAAAUUUUUAAAUUUAUGUUUGAUUAUUUGAAAUGUUCAUAA
Molecule: long non-coding RNA, 255 nt
Organism: Daphnia pulex (common water flea)
Lineage: Eukaryota; Metazoa; Arthropoda; Branchiopoda; Diplostraca; Daphniidae
Exons: 3
Source: RefSeq, a predicted model, not a curated record